UUGGAGGGCAAGUCUGGUGCCAGCAGCCGCGGUAAUUCCAGCUCCAAUAGCGUAUAUUAAAGUUGUUGCAGUUAAAAAGCUCGUAGUUGAAUUUCGGGAUCAAUGUUUCGGUCAUGCCGUUGGUAUGUACUGAUAUUAUUGGUUUCUCACCUUCUAAAGAACCGUAAUGCCAUUAAUUUGGUGUCACGGGGAAUUAGGACUGUUACCUUGAAAAAAUUAGAGUGUUUAAAGCAGGCUCACGCUUGAAUACAUUAGCAUGGAAUAAUGAAAUAGGACAUCCGAUUCUAUUUUGUUGGUUUCUAGGAUCGAUGUAAUGAUUAAUAGGGAUAGUUGGGGGCAUUAGUAUUCAAUUGUCAGAGGUGAAAUUCUUGGAUUUAUUGAAGACUAACUACUGCGAAAGCAUUUGCCAAGGAUGUUUUCAUUAAUCAAGAACGAAAGUUAGGGGAUCGAAGACGACCAGAUACCGUCGUAGUCUUAACCAUAAACUAUGCCGACUAGGGAUCGGAUGAUGUUAAUUUUUUAAUGACUCAUUCGGCGCCUUACGGGAAAC
Molecule: ribosomal RNA, 550 nt
Filed under: uncultured Funneliformis
Lineage: Eukaryota; Fungi; Glomeromycota; Glomeromycetes; Glomerales; Glomeraceae
Description: SSU rRNA
Rfam family: Eukaryotic small subunit ribosomal RNA
Source: RNAcentral